GAGAGAGAGAAAGAAAGAAAGAAAGAAAGAAAGAAAGAAAGAAAGAAAGAAAGAGAGAGAGAGAGAAUUGAAUAAGCAUCCUUGAAAGAAUAGACAAGCGUGAAGCCUGAGUUGUUUAAAAACAAAGUAUAUUGAGUUUAAGGAUCAACAGUUAAAUUGGACAUAUACUUUUGCUUCAUAUUGACUUUGAAAAAUCAGUGUCUCCCUUGAUAUCGGGCCUACAUCAACGAAAACAUUUCUCUUCUGUUCAGAGGCAGAGCAACAGUAACAUACAGUACCAAGUAUUGAUAAAGUAGUGUAGCCUGAUACAGGAAAGUUUCUGAGCACAUCUGAAAAAACAAAACGUAAUAACACACCAGACAUAACACAGUAAAUACAUUGUGAUGAUGACCACUUGACAGGGGAGAAGACGUACAGUACACAUACAAAAGAGAGUUUGCAAUACAUGUGUACAUAAAUACAUUAUUUUGAGGAUUUCUUUUUUUUUGCUUGUUGUUUUUAUAAAAUAUUUUUCAAGAAACGUAAAACGACGGAAAAAAGUUGCACAAAACACACUUUUAAACGACUCUGUUAGCGACACAUGAAAAAUGAAUAUGUCAAAUGAAUCAACACACACACACACACACACACACACACACACACACACACACACACACACACACACACACACACACACACACACACAAAGCACACACAAAGCACACACAAAGCACAACAGAAAAAACAUAUUUCUCUUCCUAUGUCACAACUGCACUGCAAGUUUGGCUUUUUUUUUCAAUGGUUAAGACAAUGUGAUUCCUAUAGUCGAGUUUCUGAAUCAUUUGUGGGCCAUGAACUGGAUCUCACUUGGCUAUAGGACCGUGGCUCGUUUCAAAACCUCUACCACAACGCUGUCACCUGGUAUUCCGUUGAGAAAAUAUGUCUCUGUUACUUUACAUGGGAGAGAUAACCAUGAUUUAUAAAGCAGACAAACUUCCCAGCCAGUGAGAGUUAUAUAAAUAUGAGCGUGGGCUGAUGGUGGUGUAUGGGCAAAUGGAAAUUGACUUGGGUCCAGCGGAAUGGCAAUAAAGUAUGAAUAAAUGGAUUGUGGGGGAAGAGGGAGAGACUAGCUGAGAGAGCCGAUGGCAGCCAUUUUGUGUCUGGCCCGUGGCCCAUGGUGCCAUCUUACAAAUGACUGCAUUAACAGAGCCAAUUAAAGUGGCAAUCAUUUAAUGGCCACCUACGCAGCCGUGCGAGACUGGGACUUUCAUCACGUCAAUCGGCCGUAAGGCAGUAAUAUUCAGUUAGAGCAAUCUGGCCAGUGGACCGACUCAGCUCUGCUCUACUCUCAAUAAAACAUGCCACCACUCAGCACUGACUGGGUAUUAGGAACAACAGCUUUAGGAGGAGAGGAGUUAUUCUUUUGAAAAUAAAUACACUGAAUCGCUUUAAUUUAAUGGCAGCUAUCAAUAGUAGUUCUUUGUAGUUAAUUGUACAAAAAAGUUUGUAAUAAAAAAAAAGAGAAUAAAUGUUUUAUUUUCCACCAAUUUUUCUAAAUGUAUUUUGGUUUUUAUAAACUAAGGAACACAUGCUUUCCAGGACAGGUUUCACUCCCUUCACCUGAAAUGAAGGGGACAUGAAGAUGCAGACAGAGUGAUGGGGGACAUAAACUAAGGAACACAUGAAGGUGCAGACAGAGUGAUGGGGGACAUGAAGAAGCAGACAGAGUGAUGGGGGACAUGAAGAUGCAGACAGAGUGAUGGGGGACAUGAAGAAGCAGACAGAGUGAUGGGGGACAUGAAGAUGCAGACAGAGUGAUGGGGGACAUGAAGAUGCAGACAGAGUGAUGGGGGACAUGAAGGUGCAGACAGAGUGAUGGGGACAUGAAGAUGCAGACAGAGUGAUGGGGGACAUGAAGGUGCAGAUGGAGUGAUGGGGACAUGAAGGUGCAGAUGGAAGGAUGGGGACAUGAAGGUGCAGAAAGACUGAUGGGUAGAAAGAAGAAAAGAAUUGCAUUUUAUCGACCAAUGUCCUUCCCCAUCUAUCCUCUGCAGUCAUACUACCCAGAAUGCUUUCGGCUCCAAGCGCUCUUUGAGUUUUAGGAGCAUCGUAAAGUGGAACAGAGCUAGAGUCGUUUAAAAUUGGGCUUGUCUACUUCAAAACAUAAAUAUAACAACAAAAAGCAACAAAAAUGCAAAACAACAUAAAAAUAAAACAAUUUCUCGGGGACCUGAUUCUCAUCCUCUAGGUUAUUUGGACACAUUGUAUACACACAUACAUAUUGUAGACCAACAAUACACUUCACAUGGUCAUCUGACCAAAGACACAUAGAAUCACAAGAUAAGCCAGUUGCGUCUAUACCGGCACCUUUUCCCUACACAGUGCACUACUUUAGACCAGGGCCCAUAGGGAAUAGGGUGCAUUACUUUAGACCAGGGACCAUAGGGAAUAGGGUGCUUUAGACCAGGGCCCAUAGGGAAUAGGGUGCACUACUUUAGACCAGGGCCCAUAGGGAAUAGGGUGCACUACUUUAGACCAGGACCCAUAGGGAAUAGGGUGCACUACUUUAGACCAGGGCCCAUAGGGAAUAGGGUGCAUUACUUUAGACCAGGGCCCAUAGGGAUUAGGGUGCUUUAGACCAGGGCCCAUAGGGAAUAGGGUGCACUACUUUAGACCAGGACCCAUAGGGAAUAGGGUGCACUACUUUAGACCAGGGCCCAUAGGGAAUAGGGUGCUUUACUUUAGACCAGGGCCCAUAGGGAAUAGGGUGCUUUAGACCAGGGCCCAUAGGGAAUAGGGUGCAUUACUUUAGACCAGGGCCCAUAGGGAAUAGGGUGCACUACUUUAGACCAGGGCCCAUAGGGAAUAGGGUGCUUUAGACCAGGACCCAUAGGGAAUAGGGUGCUUUAGACCAGGGCCCAUAGGGAAUAGGGUGCACUACUUUAGACCAGGGCCCAUAGGGAAUAGGGUGCACUACUUUAGACCAGGACCCAUAGGGAAUAGGGUGCACUACUUUAGACCAGGGCCCAUAGGGAAUAGGGUGCAUUACUUUAGACCAGGGCCCAUAGGGAUUAGGGUGCUUUAGACCAGGGCCCAUAGGGAAUAGGGUGCACUACUUUAGACCAGGACCCAUAGGGAAUAGGGUGCACUACUUUAGACCAGGGCCCAUAGGGAAUAGGGUGCAUUACUUUAGACCAGGGCCCAUAGGGAAUAGGGUGCUUUACUUUAGACCAGGGCCCAUAGGGAAUAGGGUGCUUUAGACCAGGGCCCAUAGGGAAUAGGGUGCAUUACUUUAGACCAGGCCCAUAGGGAAUAGGGUGCUUUAGACCAGGGCCCAUAGGGAAUAGGGUGCACUACUUUAGAACAGGACCCAUAGGGAAUAGGGUGCUUCAGUAUACCAACAAUGAAAUUAAAAUAUAUUUUAUAAAGUCCUAAAAUGUCACCACUGUUUAACCCACUGUUUGACCCACUGUUUGACCCACUGUUUGACCCACUGUUUGACCCACUGUUUGACCCACUGUUUGACCCACUGUUUGACCCAUAUAGAUCGUGAUACAUGUUUGUGAAAGGAAUAACAUUUUGUUUCAUUUUUAAAAAACUUUUUCUAGAUUUUCUCAAUCUAAUAAUAAUAGAUAAUAUCACUAUAAUCCAUUUGAUACACCAAUAAACACUAUGCUGUGACACUUCUAUAAUAACACACAAGUACUGUAUGUAAAUGAUUCUAGGAAAAUAAUAACAUCUUGUAGAAAUACAAAAACAAGGAAAACAAGAGUAAUUUCAGGAAGAAUUCAGUAAAGUGCAAAUAGGAAGAUAUAUAAGGAAUGAAAUAUAUAGUAAUAUUAAGAUUAUUCAUAAUAAAAGUCAACAUAUGCAACAUG
Oncorhynchus tshawytscha (Chinook salmon) is the source of this 3857-nucleotide long non-coding RNA. Lineage: Eukaryota; Metazoa; Chordata; Actinopteri; Salmoniformes; Salmonidae. The record is from Ensembl.